Molecule: unclassified non-coding RNA, 1215 nt
Filed under: uncultured fungus
Lineage: Eukaryota; Fungi
Description: sequence contains 18S rRNA gene, ITS1, 5.8S rRNA gene, ITS2, 28S rRNA gene
Rfam family: Eukaryotic large subunit ribosomal RNA (bases 335-1215)
Source: RNAcentral
GGAAGGAUCAUUAACUAAUGUGAGCGCAAGCUCAUAAUAAAUAAAUGCCAGUGUUGUUUAUGUUAAAAAGCACGAAAAUAGUAUACAACUUUUAACAAUGGAUCUCUUGGCUCUUGCGUCGAUGAAGAACGCAGCAAGCUGCGAUACGUAGUGUGAAUUGCAUAAUUCCGCGAAUCAUCGAAUUUUUGAACGCACAUUGCACUCUAUUAGUAUAGAGUAUACCUGUUUGAGAACCGGAUCAUUCUCAUUGGGAUUUGACGCUGAUCAUGUCCUUAAAAAGUGUCGUUGCAAGUGGGAAAAAUUAAAGUCAUCGAUCGCACUUGCAUUAUUUUUUUGGUCUCAAACAGGUAAGGUUACCCGCUGAACUUAAGCAUAUUAAUAAGCGGAGGAAAAGAAACUAACGAGGAUUCCCUUAGUAACGGCGAGUGAAGUGGGAAAAGCUCAAUUUAAAAUCCAAGGGCUUGACCCUUUGAAUUGUAGUUUAAAGGCACGGUUAUAAUGGAAGCUGCUGGCAAAAGUCCCUUGGAACAGGGCACCACAGAGGGUGAUAGUCCCGUAGUGUCAGUAGGAUUCCUAGUCGGCUAGUGUCUGGAGUCGGAUUGUUUGGGAUUGCAGUCCUAAGUGGGUGGUAAAUUUCAUCCAAGGCUAAAUAUUGGCAAGAGACCGAUAGCGAACAAGUACCGUGAGGGAAAGAUGAAAAGCACUUUGAAAAGAGGGUUAAAAGUACGUGAAAUUGUUAAAAGGGAAACGUUUGAGAUCAGUGUUGGAUAGCAAUAUCCUGGUCAGCGUCGGUUUCACCUGCUGUAAAAGGGACUGGUCAAGGUAGCUGCUUUCGGGCAGUAUUAUAGGACCGUUUGAUGCAGUGGGAGGGACCGAACCGUUUGCUGACAAAAUGGUCUUAAACGACCCGUCUUGAAACACGGACCAAGGAGUCUAACAUAUAUGCGAGUAUUUGGGUGGCAAACCCAAGUGCGUAAUGAAGGUGAAUAAUGGGAUCCGUAAGGUGCACCAUUGGCCGGGCUAGUUUGCAUAUGCAGCUAGGCUAGAGCUCGAGCAUAUCUGUUAGGACCCGAAAGAUGGUGAACUAUGCCUGAAUAGGGUGAAGCCAGAGGAAACUCUGGUGGAGGCUCGUAGCGGUUCUGACGUGCAAAUCGAUCGUCAAAUUUGGGUAUAGGGGCGAAAGACUAAUCGAACCAUCUAGUAGCUGGUUCCCUC